This 1806-nucleotide long non-coding RNA is filed under the name Bos grunniens (domestic yak). RNAcentral's name for it is "lncRNA (ENSBGRG00000017783.1)". The record is from RNAcentral. Lineage: Eukaryota; Metazoa; Chordata; Mammalia; Artiodactyla; Bovidae.
CCCGCAGCCCUAUCCCCCAAGUACUUUACUCCGAGCCGCUCCCACACCCACUCGGCUCAGGCCCAGCCCGUGACUACCCUGGUUUCAGCUCCAGGAAGCGGACACCGGCAGAAGCUUGAGUGGGGGAACUUAGAUCCCACCGCUGAAGCGCGCACAGUCUGGCCACCCGGCUGCAGGAUCGUCUUUGCUAGAAUCCUCGGGCGUGUCCAAGCCCGUGUGUAGAUCUCACUGACCCUCAGCGGAGGAACUUGUGAACCCCGCAGUCCGGGCACCUUAACAAUGGUCUCCUAACGUUGGCUGUGUAUGAAGAGGUGCAAACGGCCGUGGCACCUUACUUGGGAGAAACUUACGCCUUCCUCUUCUCUAUCCCAAGACUACACUCCUGAGAACCCUCAGCGGCCACUUCCGCCGUCCCUUCCGCUCGCCCCUUAGCGUGUGGAAUUGACGUAGCAGGAACAUUUCCGGUUGGUGGAUUCCGCCCAUUAGGUUUGUUGGUGGCGACUGGACCUUGCCAUUCAGGUAUUUCCUACACUUCUGCUCUUGGUUCCCGAGCUUCAUCCUCAGGAUUGGCAGCGUGCACUCCGAGUUCCAUUUGCCUUCUGAGAUUUGCCCUUCUUAGGGAGAGCACUCAGGAGAUCAGGAAAAUGACCACGGAGCUCCUGAAAGCCAAAAAAGAGGUGAGAAUAUGUGUAAAAUUGCAUCUUGGCUGCCGAGAGAAUGAAUACAUUCCAUUUUCUUGCGUUGGAGGCUGCUUUAUUGGUAGUUGGGCAAAGCUCACUUUCCUGGUCCUGGAGGAGUGGCUUAUUAAUACGAGGAGUCCCUCAACAUUUUCUGCCCCAUGCAUGCUUCAGUCAUUUUCUAAUUAAGUUAAUUGUGAACAGCUCACAUGGGGCAUAAAUACAAAUACAGGGACGUCCAGGCUUAAUUGUGCAGUGAUAAGGAUGCUUUUGAACUGUGGUGUUGGAGAAGACUCUUGAGAAUCCCUUGGACUGCAAGGAGAUCCAACCAGUCCAUUCUAAAGGAGAUCAGCCCUGGGUGUUCUUUGGAAGGAAUGAUGCUAAAGCUGAAACUGCAGUACUUUGGCCACCUCAUGUGAAGAGUUGACUCAUUGGAAAAGACUCUGAUGCUGGGAGGGAUUGGGGGCAGGAGGAAAGGGGACGACAGAGGAUGAGAUGGCUGGAUGGCAUCACCGACUCGAUGGACAUGAGUUUGAGUGAACUCUGGGAGUUGGUGAUGGACAGGGAGGCCUUGUGUGCCGCGAUUCAUGGUGUCGCAAAGAGUCGGACACGACUGAGUGACUGAACUGAACUGAACCGAAGGAUGAAAGGCAGGGACAACAUAGUAGUCUGUGGCCUGAAGUGGCUAAGGAGGACUUCUAGGAGUAGGGCUGUCUGAACAACCCCUGAGAAUCUGUUAAAUUGAAGAGUUGGUGAAGACAUACCAGUGGGAAGGGCAGGCAUCAUGGUUAGUCUAAGGCUGGGCCACUAAGCACACUGCCCUUAACACAGUGUGGGAAGAUUGUAUUUUAGGUUGAUUUUAAAAUAUGUACUGAUGAAAAUACAGACUAGCCACCCAUACUUGGAACAGAGAGGAGUUUGCUAUGGUCUGACCUGAAUUUAACAUUUGCGAGCAUUUUCAGCAUCUGGCAGUAGGGAGAUUUCACCAAAAAUUCUGGAUUGCUUGCCUCUCUGAGAAUAAACUGCACUGUAUUCUGGUGUAGGGGAAUUUGAGCUGAAUGGUGUCUGCAUCAUUUGAACAGGUCCUGCAGAGUCUGUACUUUCCUAGUAUCUUCCAUACUUAAGUUGA